RNAcentral lists this ribosomal RNA (207 nucleotides) under uncultured bacterium. RNAcentral's name for it is "partial 16S ribosomal RNA". It matches the Rfam family "Bacterial small subunit ribosomal RNA", at positions 568 to 774 of the family's 1533-position model. The record is from RNAcentral.
UGCGCAGGCGGAUCGGUAAGUACCUUGUGAAAUCCCUCGGCUCAACCGAGGAACUGCUUGGUAUACUGCCAGUCUUGAGCAUGGUAGGGGCGGUCGGAACGGUAGGUGGAGCGGUGAUAUGCGUAGAUAUCUACCGGAACGCCAAAGGUGAAGACAGGCCGCUGGGCCACUGCUGACGCUCAUGCACGAAAGCGUGGGUAGCGAACG